UGUGAAAGCCCGGGGCUCAACCUCGGAAUAGCAUUUGAAACUGGCAGACUAGAGUACUGUAGAGGGGGGUAGAAUUUCAGGUGUAGCGGUGAAAUGCGUAGAGAUCUGAAGGAAUACCGGUGGCGAAGGCGGCCCCCUGGACAGAUACUGACACUCAGAUGCGAAAGCGUGGGGAGCAAACAGGAUUAGAUACCCUGGUAGUCCACGCCGUAAACGAUGUCUACUUGGAGGUUGUGGCCUUGAGCCGUGGCUUUCGGAGCUAACGCGUUAAGUAGACCGCCUGGGGAGUACGGUCGCAAGAUUAAAACUCAAAUGAAUUGACGGGGGCCCGCACAAGCGGUGGAGCAUGUGGUUUAAUUCGAUGCAACGCGAAGAACCUUACCUACUCUUGACAUCCAGAGAACUUUCCAGAGAUGGAUUGGUGCCUUCGGGAACUCUGAGACAGGUGCUGCAUGGCUGUCGUCAGCUCGUGUUGUGAAAUGUUGGGUUAAGUCCCGCAACGAGCGCAACCCUUAUCCUUGUUUGCCAGCGAGUAAUGUCGGGAACUCCAGGGAGACUGCCGGUGAUAAACCGGAGGAAGGUGGGGACGACGUCAAGUCAUCAUGGCCCUUACGAGUAGGGCUACACACGUGCUACAAUGGCGCAUACAGAGGGCGGCCAACUUGCGAAAGUGAGCGAAUCCCAAAAAGUGCGUCGUAGUCCGGAUUGGAGUCUGCAACUCGACUCCAUGAAGUCGGAAUCGCUAGUAAUCGUGGAUCAGAAUGCCACGGUGAAUACGUUCCCGGGCCUUGUACACACCGCCCGUCACACCAUGGGAGUGGGCUGCAAAAGAAGUAGGUAGUUUAACCUUCGGGGGGACGCUUACCACUUUGUGGUUCAUGACUGGGGUGAAGUCGUAACAAGGUAGCGCUAGGGGAACCUGGCGCUGGAUCACCUCCUUAAACGAUGAU
This 950-nucleotide ribosomal RNA is filed under the name Vibrio parahaemolyticus. RNAcentral's name for it is "bacterial SSU rRNA". It matches the Rfam family "Bacterial small subunit ribosomal RNA", at positions 593 to 1533 of the family's 1533-position model. Lineage: Bacteria; Pseudomonadati; Pseudomonadota; Gammaproteobacteria; Vibrionales; Vibrionaceae. The record is from RNAcentral.